GAUGAACGCUGGCGGCGUGCCUAAUACAUGCAAGUCGAGCGAACAGACGAGGAGCUUGCUCCUCUGACGUUAGCGGCGGACGGGUGAGUAACACGUGGAUAACCUACCUAUAAGACUGGGAUAACUUCGGGAAACCGGAGCUAAUACCGGAUAAUAUAUUGAACCGCAUGGUUCAAUAGUGAAAGACGGUUUUGCUGUCACUUAUAGAUGGAUCCGCGCCGCAUUAGCUAGUUGGUAAGGUAACGGCUUAACAAGGCGACGAUGCGUAGCCGACCUGAGAGGGUGAUCGGCCACACUGGAACUGAGACACGGUCCAGACUCCAACGGGAGGCAGCAGUAGGGAAUCUUCCGCAAUGGGCGAAAGCCUGACGGAGCAACGCCGCGUGAGUGAUGAAGGUCUUCGGAUCGUAAAACUCUGUUAUUAGGGAAGAACAAAUGUGUAAGUAACUAUGCACGUCUUGACGGUACCUAAUCAGAAAGCCACGGCUAACUACGUG
This 497-nucleotide ribosomal RNA is filed under the name uncultured bacterium. RNAcentral's name for it is "partial 16S ribosomal RNA". It matches the Rfam family "Bacterial small subunit ribosomal RNA", at positions 28 to 507 of the family's 1533-position model. The record is from RNAcentral.